CACGUUUUUGGCGCCGAUUUGCUUGAUCUGCUUGCGGGCGCCUGAUAAAUCCCGCUAAAGAGGUCCGUCGUGACUCCUG
RNAcentral lists this non-coding RNA (79 nucleotides) under Orrella dioscoreae. RNAcentral's name for it is "Alpha-proteobacteria SAM riboswitch aptamer". It matches the Rfam family "Alpha-proteobacteria SAM riboswitch aptamer". Rfam says of the family: This family is a riboswitch found predominantly in alpha-proteobacteria that binds S-adenosyl methionine (SAM). Lineage: Bacteria; Pseudomonadati; Pseudomonadota; Betaproteobacteria; Burkholderiales; Alcaligenaceae. RNAcentral also lists the same sequence under 1 other name. The record is from Rfam by way of RNAcentral.